This 1552-nucleotide ribosomal RNA is filed under the name Salmonella enterica subsp. enterica serovar Dublin. RNAcentral describes it as "bacterial SSU rRNA". It matches the Rfam family "Bacterial small subunit ribosomal RNA". Lineage: Bacteria; Pseudomonadati; Pseudomonadota; Gammaproteobacteria; Enterobacterales; Enterobacteriaceae. The record is from RNAcentral.
AAAUUGAAGAGUUUGAUCAUGGCUCAGAUUGAACGCUGGCGGCAGGCCUAACACAUGCAAGUCGAACGGUAACAGGAAGCAGCUUGCUGCUUCGCUGACGAGUGGCGGACGGGUGAGUAAUGUCUGGGAAACUGCCUGAUGGAGGGGGAUAACUACUGGAAACGGUGGCUAAUACCGCAUAACGUCGCAAGACCAAAGAGGGGGACCUUCGGGCCUCUUGCCAUCAGAUGUGCCCAGAUGGGAUUAGCUUGUUGGUGAGGUAACGGCUCACCAAGGCGACGAUCCCUAGCUGGUCUGAGAGGAUGACCAGCCACACUGGAACUGAGACACGGUCCAGACUCCUACGGGAGGCAGCAGUGGGGAAUAUUGCACAAUGGGCGCAAGCCUGAUGCAGCCAUGCCGCGUGUAUGAAGAAGGCCUUCGGGUUGUAAAGUACUUUCAGCGGGGAGGAAGGUGUUGUGGUUAAUAACCGCAGCAAUUGACGUUACCCGCAGAAGAAGCACCGGCUAACUCCGUGCCAGCAGCCGCGGUAAUACGGAGGGUGCAAGCGUUAAUCGGAAUUACUGGGCGUAAAGCGCACGCAGGCGGUCUGUCAAGUCGGAUGUGAAAUCCCCGGGCUCAACCUGGGAACUGCAUUCGAAACUGGCAGGCUUGAGUCUUGUAGAGGGGGGUAGAAUUCCAGGUGUAGCGGUGAAAUGCGUAGAGAUCUGGAGGAAUACCGGUGGCGAAGGCGGCCCCCUGGACAAAGACUGACGCUCAGGUGCGAAAACGUGGGGAGCAAACAGGAUUAGAUACCCUGGUAGUCCACGCCGUAAACGAUGUCUACUUGGAGGUUGUGCCCUUGAGGCGUGGCUUCCGGAGCUAACGCGUUAAGUAGACCGCCUGGGGAGUACGGCCGCAAGGUUAAAACUCAAAUGAAUUGACGGGGGCCCGCACAAGCGGUGGAGCAUGUGGUUUAAUUCGAUGCAACGCGAAGAACCUUACCUGGUCUUGACAUCCACAGAAGAAUCCAGAGAUGGAUUUGUGCCUUCGGGAACUGUGAGACAGGUGCUGCAUGGCUGUCGUCAGCUCGUGUUGUGAAAUGUUGGGUUAAGUCCCGCAACGAGCGCAACCCUUAUCCUUUGUUGCCAGCGAUUAGGUCGGGAACUCAAAGGAGACUGCCAGUGAUAAACUGGAGGAAGGUGGGGAUGACGUCAAGUCAUCAUGGCCCUUACGACCAGGGCUACACACGUGCUACAAUGGCGCAUACAAAGAGAAGCGACCUCGCGAGAGCAAGCGGACCUCAUAAAGUGCGUCGUAGUCCGGAUUGGAGUCUGCAACUCGACUCCAUGAAGUCGGAAUCGCUAGUAAUCGUGGAUCAGAAUGCCACGGUGAAUACGUUCCCGGGCCUUGUACACACCGCCCGUCACACCAUGGGAGUGGGUUGCAAAAGAAGUAGGUAGCUUAACCUUCGGGAGGGCGCUUACCACUUUGUGAUUCAUGACUGGGGUGAAGUCGUAACAAGGUAACCGUAGGGGAACCUGCGGUUGGAUCACCUCCUUACCUUAAAGAA